This 504-nucleotide ribosomal RNA is filed under the name uncultured Glomus. RNAcentral describes it as "SSU rRNA". It matches the Rfam family "Eukaryotic small subunit ribosomal RNA", at positions 569 to 1077 of the family's 1831-position model. The record is from RNAcentral. Lineage: Eukaryota; Fungi; Glomeromycota; Glomeromycetes; Glomerales; Glomeraceae.
AGCAGCCGCGGUAAUUCCAGCUCCAAUAGCGUAUAUUAAAGUUGUUGCAGUUAAAAAGCUCGUAGUUGAAUUUCGGGGUCAGUAGGUUGGUCGUGCCACUGGUAUGCACUGGUCUCACUGAUUCCUCCUUCCUGAUGAACCGUAAUGCCAUUAAUUUGGUGUUGCGGGGAAUCUGGACUGUUACUUUGAAAAAGUUAGAGUGUUUAAAGCAGGCUAACGCCUGAAUACAUUAGCAUGGAAUAAUGAAAUAGGACGAUCGAUCCUAUUUUGUUGGUUUCUAGGAUUGACGUAAUGAUUAAUAGGGAUAGUUGGGGGCAUUAGUAUUCAAUUGUCAGAGGUGAAAUUCUUGGAUUUAUUGAAGACUAACUACUGCGAAAGCAUUUGCCAAGGAUGUUUUCAUUAAUCAAGAACGAAAGUUAGGGGAUCGAAGACGAUCAGAUACCGUCGUAGUCUUAACCAUAAACUAUGCCGACUAGGGAUCGGAUGAUGUUAAUUUUUUAAUGA